RNAcentral lists this small RNA (17 nucleotides) under Arabidopsis thaliana (thale cress). RNAcentral's name for it is "ATSL152080". The record is from RNAcentral. Lineage: Eukaryota; Viridiplantae; Streptophyta; Magnoliopsida; Brassicales; Brassicaceae.
GUUAUAAGGCUUCUUGA